RNAcentral lists this ribosomal RNA (1325 nucleotides) under metagenome. RNAcentral describes it as "bacterial LSU rRNA". It matches the Rfam family "Bacterial large subunit ribosomal RNA", at positions 1561 to 2925 of the family's 2925-position model. The record is from RNAcentral.
AGUGGAUGGGGAGCAACCUAGUUGUGCGUGUGUAAAGGUAGUGCCAAGAAAAGCGGUGAUCAUGAUGAAAAUCAAUUCCCGGUACCCGAAACCGACACAGGUGGGCAAGUAGAGAAUACUAAGGGGCGCGAGGUAACUCUCUCCAAGGAACUCGGCAAAAUGACCCCGUAACUUAGGGAGAAGGGGUGCCACCGAGAGGUGGUCGCAGUGAAGAGGCCCAGGCGACUGUUUAGCAAAAACAUAGGUCUCUGCAAACUCGAAAGAGGAGGUAUAGGGGCUGACGCCUGCCCAGUGCCGGAAGGUUAAAGAAGUUGGUCAGUCUUAGGAUAAAGCUAGCGACUGAAGCCCCGGUGAACGGCGGCCGUAACUAUAACGGUCCUAAGGUAGCGAAAUUCCUUGUCGGGUAAGUUCCGACCCGCACGAAAGGCGUAACGAUCUGGGCGCUGUCUCGGAGAGAGGCUCGGCGAAAUAGGAUUGUCUGUGAAGAUACGGACUACCUGCAUUUGGACAGAAAGACCCUAUGAAGCUUUACUAUAGCUUGGAAUUGUGUUCGGGCUUCCUGUGCGCAGGAUAGGUGGGAGGCGAAGAAGGUAUUCUUGUGGGGAUACUGGAGCCAACGGUGAGAUACCACUCUCAGGAGGCUAGAAUUCUAACUUAAUUAAGGACAGUUUCAGGUGGGUAGUUUGACUGGGGCGGUCGCCUCCAAAAAGGUAACGGAGGCGUACAAAGGUUCCCUCAGACUGGUUGGAAAUCAGUCGCAGAGUGCAAAGGCAGAAGGGAGCUUGACUGCGAGAAGUACAGUUCGAGCAGGGUGGAAACACGGUCUUAGUGAUCCGACGGUGCUGUGUGGAAGGGCCGUCGUUCAACGGAUAAAAGUUACUCUAGGAUAACAGGCUGAUCUCCCCCAAGAGUUCACAUCGACGGGGAGGUUUGGCACCUCGAUGUCGGCUCAUCGCAACCUGGGGCGGAAGUACGUCCCAAGGGUUGGGCUGUUCGCCCAUUAAAGCGGUACGUGAGCUGGGUUCAGAACGUCGUGAGACAGUUCGGUCCAUAUCCGAUGUAGGCGUGAGAAUAUUGAGAGGAGCCUUCCUUAGUACGAGAGGACCGGGAAGGACGCACCGCUGGUGUACCUGUUAUGAUGCCUAUUGUAAACGCAGGGUAGCCAAGUGCGGAGAGGAUAACCGCUGAAAGCAUCUAAGUGGGAAGCCCACCUCAAGAUGAGUAUUCUGGUGUAAGGUCACGGGAAGACGACCCGUAAAUAGGCACGAGGUGGAAGUGCAGAGAUGUAUGAAGCCGAAGUGUACUAAUAGACCGUCGGCUUGACC